This 305-nucleotide ribosomal RNA is filed under the name uncultured bacterium. Its description in RNAcentral is "bacterial SSU rRNA". It matches the Rfam family "Bacterial small subunit ribosomal RNA", at positions 335 to 656 of the family's 1533-position model. The record is from RNAcentral.
GGCCUACGGGGCGCAGCAGUCGGGAAUAUUGCGCAAUGGAGGAAACUCUGACGCAGUGACGCCGCGUAUGGGAAGAAGGUUUUCGGAUUGUAAACCAUUGUCGUUAGGGAAGAAGAAGUGACAGUACCUAAGGAGGAAGCUCCGGCUAACUAUGUGCCAGCAGCCGCGGUAAUACAUAGGGAGCGAGCGUUAUCAGGAUUUAUUGGGUGUAAAGGGUGCGUAGACGGGAAUACAAGUUAGUAGUGAAAUCACUCGGCUUAACUGAGGAACUGCUACUAAAACUAUAUAUCUUGAGUACUGGAGGG